CACGUAGGAGGCGAGCGUUGUCCGGAAUCAUUGGGCGUAAAGAGCGCGCAGGCGGCUUGGCAAGUCGGGUGUGAAAUCCCGGGGCUCAACCCCGGGACUGCAUUCGAUACUGUCAGGCUAGAGGUAGGAAGGGGAGAUCGGAAUUCCUGGUGUAGCGGUGAAAUGCGCAGAUAUCGGGAGGAACACCGGUGGCGAAGGCGGCCCCCUGGUUGGAUACUGACGCUGAGACGCGAAAGCGUGGGGAGCAAACAGG
This 253-nucleotide ribosomal RNA is filed under the name uncultured bacterium. RNAcentral's name for it is "partial 16S ribosomal RNA". It matches the Rfam family "Bacterial small subunit ribosomal RNA", at positions 524 to 776 of the family's 1533-position model. The record is from RNAcentral.